RNAcentral lists this long non-coding RNA (1291 nucleotides) under Ficedula albicollis (Collared flycatcher). Its description in RNAcentral is "lncRNA (ENSFALG00000029038.1)". The record is from RNAcentral. Lineage: Eukaryota; Metazoa; Chordata; Aves; Passeriformes; Muscicapidae.
CCCCCCCCCCCCCCCCCCCCCCCCCCCCCCCCCCCCCCCCCCCCCCCCCCCCCCCCCCCCCCCCCCCCCCCCCCCCCCCCCCCCCCCCCCGGGGGGGGGGGGAGGUGGCACCGUCCCUGUCCCUGUCCCCAGGGCUCCCAGUGGCUCCCAGUAAGUCCCAGUUCCCAGGAGUGGCCCCGCAGCCCAAAGGGACAGGAGGGGACAGCAGGACACCGCCCCAAAGUCCCCGUGUCCCCUCCAGGGUCCUUGGCACAGCAGGGAGCAGCGGUGGCACCUCCUGGUGUCACCUCAGGUGUUACUGCCUGGUGGCACCUCUGAUGUCACCUCUGGUGUCACCUCCUGGUGUCACCUCAGGUGUUCCCCCCCCCCCCCCCCCCCCCCCCCCCCCCCCCCCCCCCCCCCCCCCCUGCCUGGUGGCACCUCCCGUGUCCCCUCCAGGGUCCUUGGCACAGCAGGGAGCAGCGGUGGCACCUCCUGGUGUCACCUCAGGUGUUACUGCCUGGUGGCACCUCUGAUGUCACCUCAGGUGUUGCUGCCUGGUGGCAGCUCCUGGUGGCACCUCCAAGGUUCUUCAGUGUCACAUCCCAGGUGUCCCCAGGGUCGUGUUCUUGGUGUCCUCAAUGUCCUCGAUGUCACAUCUCCAGUGUCCCCAGUUCUCCAGUCCCAGUGUUCCCAAUGUCACACCCCUGGUGUCCCCGGUGUCCUGUUCCCAGUGUUCCCAAUGUCACAUCCGCAGUGUCACACCCCUGGUGUCCCCGGUGUCCUGUUCUCAGUGUCCCCAAUGUCACACCCCUGGUGUCCCCGGUGUCCCGUUCUCAGUGUCCCCAAUGUCACACCCCUGGUGUCCCCGGUGUCCCGUUCUCAGUCUUCUUGGUGUCCCAUUCCUGGUGUCCUUGGUGUCCCAUCCCAGUGUCCCCAAUGUCCCAUCCCAGUGUCCCCAGUGUCCCCGGUGUCCCCAGUGUCACAAGGUGAAGAUCUCGUCCUCGCUGUCCCCGGUGUCCCCAGUGUCCCCGGUGUCCCCAGUGUCCCCAGUGUCACAAGGUGGCGAUCUCCUCCUCGCUGUCCCCGGUGUCCCCAGUGUCACAAGGUGAAGAUCUCGUCCUCGCUGUCCCCAGUGUCCCCAGUGUCCCCAGUGUCACAAGGUGAAGAUCUCGCCCUCGCUGUCCCCAGUGUCCCCAGUGUCCCCAGUGUCCCCCCCCCCCCCCCCCCCCCCCCCCCCCCCCCCCCCCCCCCCCCCCCCCCCCCCCCCCCCCCCCCCCCCCCCCCCCCCCCCCCCCCCCCCCCCCCCCCC